GUACACUCCUGCGGGAAGCAGCAGUGGGGAAUAUUGGACAAUGGGCGCAAGCCUGAUCCAGCCAUGCCGCGUGAGUGAUGAAGGCCCUAGGGUUGUAAAGCUCUUUCACCGGUGAAGAUAAUGACGGUAACCGGAGAAGAAGCCCCGGUUAACUUCGUGCCAGCAGCCGCGGUAAUACGAAGGGGCUAGCGUUGUUCGGAUUUACUGGGCGUAAAGCGCACGUAGGCGGACUAUUAAGUCAGGGGUGAAAUCCCGGGGCUCAACCCCGGAACUGCCUUUGAUACUGGUAGUCUUGAGUUCGAGAGAGGUGAGUGGAAUUCCGAGUGUAGAGGUGAAAUUCGUAGAUAUUCGGAGGAACACCAGUGGCGAAGGCGGCUCACUGGCUCGAUACUGACGCUGAGGUGCGAAAGCGUGGGGAGCAAACAGGAUUAGAUACCCCUGUAGUCCCA
Molecule: ribosomal RNA, 449 nt
Filed under: uncultured organism
Description: partial 16S ribosomal RNA
Rfam family: Bacterial small subunit ribosomal RNA
Source: RNAcentral